ACUGACGGUUGUGUAAUGGCAAGUAGUUCAAAUAAUCAUAUUUUAGUCGGGACCGAGUAAGUGUCGUGUUAGGAUAUAAUAUUAAUAAUCAUGCCUCUCGUUAAUUUCGAAGAUUUGUAUCCGGUAAUUGUGUUUUGUGUGAAGGAAUUAACAGAAUACAGACAUAACCUGUGUGGCCUUGUAUCUCAUACUCUACGAUAUGAUGUUAGGCACUGUGCUCUUCGGGUUACAGUCAAUCGUGAACUGCUUCUGCAUGCUGAGAAUAUUAGCCUUCUGAAACUCUAAAAAGUGUGAGAGAAUUUGCGGAACAAAGAAAAGCCGUUUGUCACAGAAGUGUGUCGGGAUGAGAGGGAAAUGGAGAAUCGAACUGUCCCGGAGGUUGAAACUCUCGUCUCCACCCCCUGAGAUUCUAAGAACGUGAUUUUUGAUUGCUUCCUGCGAUUCGUCGCCUGAUAACCGCAACGUCUUCAAAUGCUGAAGGAGAUGUUUCAAGAAAGUUUUACGCGGAGGCAAGUAGGACAGUGAGUAAGCAAUUUGACAUCGGUAAUCAGCUUCCUUCAUUACGAAAAUUGGUGAUAGAAGAAAUGUACUGCAGACUAACGUGACUGGUGAUACAAGGUGACAUCCGUGUUUAAACUGGCAGUAUCACCAGGGAACCAAGCUGAGUUGCGGAGUUCUUGCAAAUAAUUCCGACCCUUAUUUCGGUGAAACAGUCCGCGACAACUACUGAUAUUAGAGUGAUAUUUUCCUUCACCAUUAUCGUCAUCAGUUUUUUAAACGAACGCGAAGACGCCCUGAGUUAUUGCUUGUGUUUUUCGAAUCGCAUCAGUGUAUCGGCGUAUCGUGUAAUAUUUAGUUACACUAUUAUCGAGAGUAUAGGCAUGUUGCUCCAACACGUGUGACAGUCCACUGCUUUCCGUCAGUAACAACAACAUAUAACAACAGGCUGUUCCGCAAACUAAGUAUAUUAUUAUUAAUAUCCCAAAGUUACUUUUUAAUCGAAGGUGUAAGCAGUGUCACAGAUGUUAAGAAACAAAGUUAUGUUCAGAAAUCUUAUAUCUGGACCUUCAACUGUGAUCUUUAUUGUAUCAGUGGAAGAAAUUAUUUAACGAACAGCACUUUCAAGAGAAUAAAUUCUUGAAUUGUAUGUAAUUAUAAUUAGUAAAAAGACCGAUAUCUCUCAACACUUUAAAGCUCAGUGAUCUAUAUAGUUACCGCCUGCAUUAAUAUUAUAAAACUCUUGCUUUCUUCUCAUAGAAUGUAGUUGUGUGUUCCGUAUGACUCUCACAAUAAACAAUGACUGUUUUUCUAGACAGAAUUAACCGGUUGGAAUUUGUAGCGGGCAAGUAAUGUGUUUCCUAUGAGGUACGGACUCAAUAAUUAUAUUUAUUGCAUUCUGGCGACAAAGUGUAUCUGUGAGUUCGCGUUUACCCCGAUAGCAUUAACCGUUUGAGCUUUGUAACGAAGAAGUGAUGUGUUUCCUGUGAGGUACGGACUGGAUUUUUAUGUAUAUUUCGAAGAAAUUCGGUCUUUAAAGCGUUAAAUUUAGGGGGCAGAAAGUCAGUAAAAUUAUUGUGCGAAGAAAAAUAUGUCUGAUGUUUCAAGAGUAUUCAAUAAAGUUUAAUGUCGUUUAUACAGAAUAAGUGUAUUGUUUUGGAACAAUGAAUUAUACCGUAACAUCAUACGAGUGUAUUAAAUACAUAUUAACAGUUGUGUUGUAGAUACAUUUAAUUCUAUACGUGUGUUACAAGAGGCCUACUAAAACAGGCGACAUCCUAUCUGUGCUGAAGACAAUUCCAUAAGAGUCUUGUGGGGGUAUGUGUGACUUGGCAACUGAAGGUGUGACUUACGUGUGAAGGCAGCGGUCUGUAGGAUUGCAUUGUUGCUGCAACUUAGAGGUACGUCCGUCGUCAGUUGUGGAGGGUCCUCAGGCUUCUACCGCCGCCGCCGCGCCGCCUCCCGGGGGUGUCUGUGCAGCCGACAUAUUUGCUUGUUGGGACUUGGUUCGACACCCAACUGGUCCAGUAACGCGUUCCUUCCACCCUCAGUACUGCAACCACGUUCCGACAGACUGCGCUGCGGAUAUCAACAGUUGCCCGAGGAUGUCGUUCUUGGCUCUGGAAUCGAACUCC
Long non-coding RNA from Cryptotermes secundus, 2132 nucleotides. RefSeq lists it as uncharacterized. Lineage: Eukaryota; Metazoa; Arthropoda; Insecta; Blattodea; Kalotermitidae. The record is from RefSeq and is a predicted model, not a curated record. The transcript has 4 exons.